GUUGGUAUAGCUCAGUGGUAGAACAUGCGCUUAGCAUGCACAAGGUCCUGGGUUCAAUCCCCAGUGCCUCCA
Molecule: transfer RNA, 72 nt
Filed under: Camelus bactrianus (Bactrian camel)
Lineage: Eukaryota; Metazoa; Chordata; Mammalia; Artiodactyla; Camelidae
Also listed under: 1 other name
Rfam family: tRNA
About the family: Transfer RNA (tRNA) molecules are approximately 80 nucleotides in length. Their secondary structure includes four short double-helical elements and three loops (D, anti-codon, and T loops). Further hydrogen bonds mediate the characteristic L-shaped molecular structure. tRNAs have two regions of fundamental functional importance: the anti-codon, which is responsible for specific mRNA codon recognition, and the 3' end, to which the tRNAs corresponding amino acid is attached (by aminoacyl-tRNA synthetases). tRNAs cope with the degeneracy of the genetic code in two manners: having more than one tRNA (with a specific anti-codon) for a particular amino acid; and 'wobble' base-pairing, i.e. permitting non-standard base-pairing at the 3rd anti-codon position.
Source: Rfam by way of RNAcentral